RNAcentral lists this ribosomal RNA (460 nucleotides) under uncultured bacterium. RNAcentral's name for it is "partial 16S ribosomal RNA". It matches the Rfam family "Bacterial small subunit ribosomal RNA", at positions 28 to 507 of the family's 1533-position model. The record is from RNAcentral.
GACGAACGCUGGCGGCGUGCCUAACACAUGCAAGUCGAGCGGUAAGGCCUCUUCGGGGGUACACGAGCGGCGCACGGGUGAGUAACACGUGGGUGACCUGCCCUCAGCUCUGGGAUAAGCCUGGGAAACUGGGUCUAAUACCGGAUAUGACCUUUCCUCGCAUGGGGUUUGGUGGAAAGUUUUUUCGGCUGGGGAUGGGCCCGCGGCCUAUCAGCUUGUUGGUGGGGUGAUGGCCUACCAAGGCGACGACGGGUAGCCGGCCUGAGAGGGCGACCGGCCACACUGGGACUGAGACACGGCCCAGACUCCUACGGGAGGCAGCAGUGGGGAAUAUUGCGCAAUGGGCGGAAGCCUGACGCAGCGACGCCGCGUGGGGGAUGACGGCCUUCGGGUUGUAAACCUCUUUCGACCCCGACGAAUUUGGACGGUAGGGGUAGAAGAAGCACCGGCCAACUACGCG